ACUUAAAUUGAAGAGUUUGAUCAUGGCUCAGAUUGAACGCUGGCGGCAGGCCUAACACAUGCAAGUCGAGCGGUAGCACAGAGAGCUUGCUCUCGGGUGACGAGCGGCGGACGGGU
RNAcentral lists this ribosomal RNA (116 nucleotides) under Klebsiella pneumoniae. RNAcentral's name for it is "partial 16S ribosomal RNA". It matches the Rfam family "Bacterial small subunit ribosomal RNA", at positions 1 to 107 of the family's 1533-position model. Lineage: Bacteria; Pseudomonadati; Pseudomonadota; Gammaproteobacteria; Enterobacterales; Enterobacteriaceae. The record is from RNAcentral.